CCAGACUCCUACGGGAGGCAGCAGUGGGGAAUAUUGCACAAUGGGGGAAACCCUGAUGCAGCAACGCCGCGUGAGUGAGGAAGUAUUUCGGUAUGUAAAGCUCUAUCAGCAGGGAAUAGAAAAGAAGGUACCUGAAAAAGAAGCCCCGGCUAACUACGUGCCAGCAGCCGCGGUAAUACGUAGGGGGCAAGCGUUAUCCGGAUUUACUGGGUGUAAAGGGAGCGUAGACGGAAAGGCAAGUCAGAGGUGAAAACCCGGGGCUCAACCCCGGGAGUGCAUUUGAAACUGUCCAGCUGGAGUGCAGGAGAGGUAAGCGGAAUUCCUAGUGUAGCGGUGAAAUGCAUAGAUAUUAGGAGGAACACCAGUGGCGAAGGCGGCUUACUGGACUGUAACUGACACUGAGGCUCGAAAGCGUGGGGAGCAAACAGGAUUAGAUACCCUUGUA
RNAcentral lists this ribosomal RNA (445 nucleotides) under uncultured bacterium. Its description in RNAcentral is "partial 16S ribosomal RNA". It matches the Rfam family "Bacterial small subunit ribosomal RNA", at positions 331 to 792 of the family's 1533-position model. The record is from RNAcentral.